This is a long non-coding RNA of Oncorhynchus tshawytscha (Chinook salmon), 1035 nucleotides long. Lineage: Eukaryota; Metazoa; Chordata; Actinopteri; Salmoniformes; Salmonidae. The record is from Ensembl.
GAAGAAAAACAUUAAGAUCCACAACAUUUAUUCCUUGAGACAAAACUAGGUCCAGAGUAUGACUGUGAUAGUGAGUAGGUCCAGAGACAUGUUGGACAAAAGCCACUGAGUCGAUGAUGGCUCCGAAAGCCUUUUGCAGUGGGUCUGUGGACUUUUCCAUAUGAAUAUUAAAGUCACCAAAAAUGUGAAUAUUAUCUGCUAUUACAAGGUCCGAUAGGAAUUCAGGGAACUCAAUUGAGGAAGCUGUAUGACCGGAAACAUGACCGAAUACAAACAGUGUAGCUAUUCCUUCCGCAAGGCAAUCAAACAAGCUAAGGUCGUUCUAGAGAUAAUGGGGAGGCUGGUACAGAGGUAAACAUUUAAAUAUUAUGAUCAAUAAAUUAUAUGAAUUUCUUCUGACAAAGAUAUUGUACAGAUCUGUGUUGCUGUUUGCCCACUCUGUUUAAUACUUAUUUUAGGAACUUGGUUGUAUGAUGUUCUCCAUCCGCACUCAUUCUCCUAUCUUGGUUUGGCUGGUCUUGUCCUCCAGACCUGUUAUGCUCCUGGGACUCUGGCAAGUUUCAAGGCGUCAGGCCUGUCCUCCAGUAGUUAUGAGCUGAGCCAGUACAUCAACGGUGCUGAACAGACUGAACCUGCCCCACAAGCCACCUGGAGAACAGCAGACACAGAUAAUUCUGGGGGAAACGGGAGCAGCGGGACAUGAGAUAAUUUCCUGGGCCGCUGGCUAGGGAAGACCUGCACAAAGGAGAUGCCAUGUGUUUUGUCCACCAGAGGGCAGAAGCCUGCAUGAUAAGGGCUCUGCCGGCCUCCUUUGGAAUCUACUUGUACUGCUGUUCAGCCAAAAUGGAGUAGGUGAACAUCUCUUCACGCUCUUAUAUUAGGUGAAACCCCUUUCUCUUAUUGCUCUUGAAAUAUCACAAAUUGGCCAAGAUGGUCCAAACUACACGCAACAAACAUUUGUUAUCCCAGUCUGUGGAAUUUGGAUUAUCUGCAUUAUCUGUGAGGCGCUGUGCCCACCCACAAACUCAUUCUAAC